Molecule: ribosomal RNA, 391 nt
Filed under: uncultured bacterium
Lineage: Bacteria
Description: bacterial SSU rRNA
Rfam family: Bacterial small subunit ribosomal RNA
Source: RNAcentral
GACGAACGCUGGCGGCGUGCUUAACACAUGCAAGUCGAGCGGUAAGGCCCUUUCGGGGGUACACGAGCGGCGAACGGGUGAGUAACACGUGGGUGACCUGCCCUCAGCUCUGGGAUAAGCCUGGGAAACCGGGUCUAAUACCGGAUAUGACUCCAUGACGCAUGUUGUGGGGUGGAAAGCCUUGUGCGGCUGAGGAUGGGCCCGCGGCCUAUCAGCUUGUUGGUGGGGUGAUGGCCUACCAAGGCGACGACGGGUAGCCGGCCUGAGAGGGCGACCGGGCCACACUGGGACUGAGACACGGCCCAGACUCCUACGGGAGGCAGCAGUGGGGAAUCUUGCGCAAUGGGCGAAAGCCUGACGCAGCGACGCCGCGUGAGGGAUGACGGCCUGG